Molecule: long non-coding RNA, 867 nt
Filed under: Androctonus crassicauda
Lineage: Eukaryota; Metazoa; Arthropoda; Arachnida; Scorpiones; Buthidae
Source: RNAcentral
UGGCAUUUUAGUUGUAUUCAAAUUAUUUUAUAUUAUGUUUUCCUUGUUUUCUGAUGAAACAUAUAUCUUACUGCAUCAUUUGUUUUUAAUUAAUGCUUGUGCUGAAUUAUUGUGGUUAAGGUUUCCUUGCAAAGAUUACUUUAUGAAACUGCUAAAUCAUAUGAGUAUCAACUUUUGGAGAAAUUUUCAGUCUGUCUUUCCUGUUUUUAUGCUGUUUUCUAAUCAAAGACUAGAAAAUAGCAUUUCCAUUACAUCCAUAUGUAACUUUAUAUUACUUUAGUCAGCAGUUACUAACUGGCAAGGCAAUUUCAAUGAUCAUUGUGACAUACCCACACUCUGGUGACAUCAACUGGAAGGUUGAAGAAUAAAUUUAACAGGCUGUGCCUGAAUCCUUCGAAAUGAUAAGUGACUGUUUUACUUUAUGGCCAUCUUGAAGGAUGAGGACUGACAGGCUGCAUCCAGCUUUCUCUAAAUACAUGUAUAGAUAUAGGAUCUGGAAUUGAACUUGGAUAUUCCAAGUAAUAAAUGACAGCAUUUUGGUCUAUAUGAAAGGAAGUUUUUAUAAUAUUUGUAUGAUGGCAGCUGACUUCUUCUUUAGAUCCUUUAAAUAAACUUUGUUAUUUAGAUUGUUUUAUAACAUUUAACACUAAUUAUAGAUAUGAAUUUUGUUGUCAUUUAUAUAAUCACGUAGUGUUUGAACAUAUUUCAAUAAAAUUUGAUUGGCAACAUCGAAUUUUAUUAUUUGGGCUCAGGAACAUUGUAAUGAUUUAAUGAAAAUUAAUGGCAAUUUAGGCAUUAAUAUAUUGGAAAAUGCUUGCAAAUUGAAUUCUCAAAGUGCUUUAAUUUCAUAAGCUGGGAUUAGUGUAU